RNAcentral lists this transfer RNA (70 nucleotides) under Catamiarus brevipennis. Its description in RNAcentral is "tRNA-Lys". It matches the Rfam family "tRNA". From Rfam's summary of the family: Transfer RNA (tRNA) molecules are approximately 80 nucleotides in length. Their secondary structure includes four short double-helical elements and three loops (D, anti-codon, and T loops). The record is from RNAcentral. Lineage: Eukaryota; Metazoa; Arthropoda; Insecta; Hemiptera; Reduviidae.
CAUUAAGUGGCUGAAAGAAAGUAAUGGUCUCUUAAACCAAGAAAUGGUAAUUAACGCCUACCCUUAAUGG